GCAGUAGUUGAUUCUGUCGCUGCAGGCUUCGGCCUGUGGAGGAAAGUCCGGGCAGCAAAGGGUGCCGCACUGUUGAAAAACAGAUGUCUGUGAAGGCAUGGGUACAAAGAAGAAAACAACCGCCUCCUUUCGGGGGUAAGGGUGAGAAGGUGGGGUAAGAGCCCACCAGUGUGGCGGGUGAUCGCUACAGCUGUUUGUCCUGCGGGCUGAAAGGCCAUGUAUACCGGUACAAUAAAAGUUACCCGCUUCUGCCGGGGGGUAGGCCGCUCAGAAAAAUGACAGGAAUCCUGUUUUUCAGGAUACAGAACCUGGCUUAACAACUACUGCAUUU
RNAcentral lists this RNase P RNA (331 nucleotides) under Bacteroidales bacterium. Its description in RNAcentral is "RNase P RNA component class A". It matches the Rfam family "Bacterial RNase P class A". From Rfam's summary of the family: Ribonuclease P (RNase P) is a ubiquitous endoribonuclease, found in archaea, bacteria and eukarya as well as chloroplasts and mitochondria. Its best characterised activity is the generation of mature 5'-ends of tRNAs by cleaving the 5'-leader elements of precursor-tRNAs. The record is from RNAcentral. Lineage: Bacteria; Pseudomonadati; Bacteroidota; Bacteroidia; Bacteroidales.